AGCCAGAACACAGGUGCUGCAUGGCUGUCGUCAGCUCGUGUCGUGAGAUGUUGGGUUAAGUCCCGCAACGAGCGCAACCCUUGUCACUAGUUGCCAUCAUUUGGUUGGGCACUCUAGUGAGACUGCCGGUGACAAACCGGAGGAAGGUGGGGAUGACGUCAAGUCCUCAUGGCCCUUAUGGGUAGGGCUACACACGUCAUACAAUGGCCGGUACAGAGGGUAGCCAACCCGCGAGGGGGGAGCCAAUCCCACAAAGCCGGUCGUAGUCCGGAUCGCAGUCUGCAACUCGACUGCGUGAAGUCGGAAUCGCUAGUAAUCGCGGAUCAGCAUGUCGCGGUGAAUACGUUCCCGGGUCUU
RNAcentral lists this ribosomal RNA (357 nucleotides) under uncultured Thauera sp. RNAcentral's name for it is "bacterial SSU rRNA". It matches the Rfam family "Bacterial small subunit ribosomal RNA", at positions 1025 to 1382 of the family's 1533-position model. The record is from RNAcentral. Lineage: Bacteria; Pseudomonadati; Pseudomonadota; Betaproteobacteria; Rhodocyclales; Zoogloeaceae.